GGCUUUGUAUUGUAGCCAAUGAAGUUAAUCUGAGGCAUGAUUAUUGCUAAUUGAAAAAAAACAGGUGGUAUUUGAGAUUUAACAGCUAAUUAUAGAAGAUGCAGCCAUGGU
Non-coding RNA from Podarcis lilfordi (Lilford's wall lizard), 111 nucleotides. The record is from the annotation of a GenBank genome assembly. Lineage: Eukaryota; Metazoa; Chordata; Lepidosauria; Squamata; Lacertidae.